RNAcentral lists this ribosomal RNA (112 nucleotides) under Ochotona princeps (American pika). The record is from RNAcentral. Lineage: Eukaryota; Metazoa; Chordata; Mammalia; Lagomorpha; Ochotonidae.
GUCUACGGCCAUACCACCCUGAACGCGACCAAUGUUGUCUGAUCUCGGAAGCUAAGCAGGGUCGGACCUGGUUAGUACUUGGAUGGGAGAAGAGACAGAAGGAAUUUAGAUG